GACGAACGCUGGCGGCGUGCUUAACACAUGCAAGUCGAACGGAAAGGCCCUGCUUUUGUGGGGUGCUCGAGUGGCGAACGGGUGAGUAACACGUGAGUAACCUGCCCUUUACUUUGGGAUAACUUCAGGAAACUGGGGCUAAUACCGGAUAGGAGCUCCUGCUGCAUGGUGGGGGUUGGAAAGUUUCGGCGGUUGGGGAUGGACUCGCGGCUUAUCAGCUUGUUGGUGGGGUAGUGGCUUACCAAGGCUUUGACGGGUAGCCGGCCUGAGAGGGUGACCGGCCACAUUGGGACUGAGAUACGGCCCAGACUCCUACGGGAGGCAGCAGUGGGGAAUAUUGCACAAUGGGCGGAAGCAUGAUGCAGCAACGCCGCGUGCGGGAUGACGGCCUUCGGGUUGUAAACCGCUUUCGCCUGUGACGAAGCGUGAGUGACGGUAAUGGGUAAAGAAGCACCGGCUAACUACGUG
Molecule: ribosomal RNA, 468 nt
Filed under: uncultured bacterium
Lineage: Bacteria
Description: partial 16S ribosomal RNA
Rfam family: Bacterial small subunit ribosomal RNA
Source: RNAcentral